UACGUAGGGUGCGAGCGUUGUCCGGAAUUAUUGGGCGUAAAGAGCUCGUAGGCGGCCUGUCGCGUCGGAUGUGAAAGCCCGGGGCUUAACCCCGGGUCUGCAUUCGAUACGGGCAGGCUAGAGUUCGGUAGGGGAGAUCGGAAUUCCUGGUGUAGCGGUGAAAUGCGCAGAUAUCAGGAGGAACACCGGUGGCGAAGGCGGGUCUCUGGGCAACAACUGACGCUGAGGAGCGAAAGCGUGGGGAGCGAACAGG
Molecule: ribosomal RNA, 253 nt
Filed under: uncultured bacterium
Lineage: Bacteria
Description: partial 16S ribosomal RNA
Rfam family: Bacterial small subunit ribosomal RNA
Source: RNAcentral